RNAcentral lists this ribosomal RNA (374 nucleotides) under uncultured Glomeromycotina. Its description in RNAcentral is "LSU rRNA". The record is from RNAcentral. Lineage: Eukaryota; Fungi; Glomeromycota.
UUGAAAGGGAAACGAUUGAAGUCAGUCGUACCAGCGGGAAAUCAACCUUUCGAGUGGGGUUUUGGAGUUUUGAAGUGUGUCAAAACCUUUGAGAUUCCNAAAUUUUCGCUCUUUUGGUGUACUUUCUCGUGGGUAGGUUAACAUCGAUUUUGAUCAUCAUAAAAAGAUUGGAGGAAUGUAGCUUCGAUCUUGUAUUGAAGUGUUAUAGCCUUUGGUAAAUGUGAUGAUUAGGAUCGAGGAUUGCAACGAAUACCCUUUUGGGCUAUCCGCCUGAUCUCUGAUACGUGGUCUUGGUAUCGAAAGCUUGCUUAUGGUAUUAAGGUAUUACGGUCAAAAGGUUAGAACGGAUUACAUUCGUUAAGGAUGUUGACGUA